UGUGUGUGUGUGUGUGUGUGUGUGUGUCACUACACCUCCAAGUACAUUAUAAAAGGAGAGAGGACAGUGACCGAUGGCUCUCUACGGCACAGAUCAUCUGGUCCUUGUGCUCGAUGCUCCACAAGGCUCCCUCUCUCCCGCUCUAGACUGAGGGAACAGUGAAGACUCCAGGAGCUCUGAAGAUUUUUGGAAUAUUCUGUGGUUUAUACGAGCUCUGAGUGCUGCAAUGAGAGGGUGUGUGUUGCUGUUUGCGCUGAUGCUAGUUGUGAGACAUGGCCUGUGUAAAGACCAAGGACAGACCAGUAUCAACUCCUUGGACAUCAUGAAGCCGGAAAUCGACCCGUACUGGUACACGGGCCGGGGCAUUCGGCCCGUGGGACGCUUUGGACGCAGAGUGAAGGCCAGGAGGCCUCACGUUCACCUGGCGAGGAAGCCUCCCCUUCCCCCAUGCAAACUCAGACGCAGCCCGUCUGCAGCCUGCACACACCACUGGCUUUUCCAGUAACGAGGAGCCCUUUUUGUAAAUCUUUGUCUCUUCUUCGGUUUUAGUUCAUAUUUACUUGAAGCUGCUGCUGUAAGUUAAAGAGUUGCAAAUAGAGAGACUGCAUAAAGAUCCAAGAUUUUGAAAUAAACUAACACUGCUAACAUCACUCCCUAUAUAACGUACCAUGUAGAUGACUACGCUAUUCACUAUAUGAAACACUAUAAAUACACACACAUACAAUAUAUGACACAAUAAUAAUGACCAAAUAGUGCGAAACUAUUGUGUUGUAACCAUUGUGAAAAGGUUUGCAAUGGUUUAUGGGAUGAGUAGUCCCUCACUCGUUCACAAAAAAUUAUCGCAGUCUUGUACCUUUGUACGGAAGAGG
This is a long non-coding RNA of Gadus morhua (Atlantic cod), 869 nucleotides long. RefSeq lists it as uncharacterized. The transcript has 3 exons. The record is from RefSeq and is a predicted model, not a curated record. Lineage: Eukaryota; Metazoa; Chordata; Actinopteri; Gadiformes; Gadidae.